Molecule: ribosomal RNA, 475 nt
Filed under: uncultured bacterium
Lineage: Bacteria
Description: bacterial SSU rRNA
Rfam family: Bacterial small subunit ribosomal RNA
Source: RNAcentral
GAUGAACGCUGGCGGCGUGCCUCAAACAUGCAAGUCGAGCGGGGCUAUGUAAUAUCGCAAGGUAGAACAUAGCCUAGCGGCGAACGGGUGAGUAACACGUGGGUAACCUGCCUGGAAGACAGGGAUAACGAUUCGAAAGGGUCGCUAAUACCUGAUAAUAUCCUUUCAUCGCAUGGUGAUAGGAAGAAAGGGGAAACCCGCUUUCAGAUGGGCCCGCGUCCCAUCAGCUAGUUGGUAAGGUAAAGGCUUACCAAGGCGACGACGGGUAGCCGGUCUGAGAGGAUGUACGGCCACACUGGGACUGAGAUACGGCCCAGACUCCUACGGGAGGCAGCAGUUGGGAAUCUUAGGCAAUGGACGAAAGUCUGACCUAGCGACGCCGCGUGAGGGAAGAAGGCCUUUGGGUUGUAAACCUCUGUCAUGGGGGAAGAAGUAAGUGACGGUACCCCAAGAGGAAGCCCCUGCUAACUACGUG